GCUGGACGGAAACCCUAGCCGCCCGUCCAUGGCGACCCACCGCAGCACCCAAAGGCCUCGACGACGGCGGUAUGGUAGGAGCAACGGCGACCAGCGACGGCCAUGGCGACCCACCGCAGCCUCCAAGACCUCGACAACGGUCGGUGCUACGGUGAGGUACAGCAACCAGCGACGGGACGACGCCUAAAUCCACCGGUACAGGAGAGCAGCCAUGGAAUGGAAGGUCCGUUCCACCCGUUCUUCCCCGCUUGAUUGACUCUAUCUAAGAGUUCUUCGGUUUCAAGUGGAUUUUCUUCUGGGCUCCAUAAGUCAAAAUGGAGACCGCCAC
Non-coding RNA from Triticum urartu, 328 nucleotides. NCBI's taxonomy places the organism in Eukaryota, Viridiplantae, Streptophyta, Magnoliopsida, Poales, Poaceae. The record is from RefSeq and is a predicted model, not a curated record.